CUGUGCUAUGAGAUCACAGCUCUGUCUUUGUGAUAUUGCUGUCUGUUGCCAUAGUGCUUUUCUUCUUCUUUUUGCUUCCACAAAGUCAGCUUUGGGAUAACUUGACUACCAAGGUCACUGAGGAGCAGAUG
This is a non-coding RNA of Podarcis lilfordi (Lilford's wall lizard), 131 nucleotides long. The record is from the annotation of a GenBank genome assembly. NCBI's taxonomy places the organism in Eukaryota, Metazoa, Chordata, Lepidosauria, Squamata, Lacertidae.